GAUGAACGCUGGCGGCGUGCCUAAUACAUGCAAGUCGAGCGAACAGACGAGGAGCUUGCUCCUCUGACGUUAGCGGCGGACGGGUGAGUAACACGUGGAUAACCUACCUAUAAGACUGGGAUAACUUCGGGAAACCGGAUCUAAUACCGGAUAAUAUAUUGAACCGCAUGGUUCAAUAGUGAAAGACGGUUUUGCUGUCACUUAUAGAUGGAUCCGCGCCGCAUUAGCUAGUUGGUAAGGUAACGGCUUACCAAGGCGACGAUGCGUAGCCAACCUGAGAGGGUGAUCGGCCACACUGGAACUGAGACACGGUCCAGACUCCUACGGGAGGCAGCAGUAGGGAAUCUUCCGCAAUGGGCGAAAGCCUGACGGAGCAACGCCGCGUGAGUGAUGAAGGUCUUCGGAUCGUAAAACUCUGUUAUUAGGGAAGAACAAAUGUGUAAGUAACUAUGCACGUCUUGACGGUACCUAAUCAGAAAGCCACGGCUAACUACGUG
This 497-nucleotide ribosomal RNA is filed under the name uncultured bacterium. Its description in RNAcentral is "partial 16S ribosomal RNA". It matches the Rfam family "Bacterial small subunit ribosomal RNA", at positions 28 to 507 of the family's 1533-position model. The record is from RNAcentral.